Molecule: small nuclear RNA, 104 nt
Organism: Jaculus jaculus (lesser Egyptian jerboa)
Lineage: Eukaryota; Metazoa; Chordata; Mammalia; Rodentia; Dipodidae
Source: Ensembl
GUUCUCCGUUCAGCAUCACAUAUGCUAAAAGUGGAAUGAUACAGAGAUUAGCAUGGCCCCUGUGCAAGGAUAACAUGCAAAUUCAUGAAGCAUUCCACAUUUUU